RNAcentral lists this ribosomal RNA (457 nucleotides) under uncultured Sphingobacteriales bacterium. Its description in RNAcentral is "bacterial SSU rRNA". It matches the Rfam family "Bacterial small subunit ribosomal RNA", at positions 920 to 1382 of the family's 1533-position model. Lineage: Bacteria; Pseudomonadati; Bacteroidota; Sphingobacteriia; Sphingobacteriales. The record is from RNAcentral.
CCCGCACAAGCGGAGGAACAUGUGGUUUAAUUCGAUGAUACGCGAGGAACCUUACCUGGCUUAAAUGGGAGUGACAGCUGUCGAAGAUGGUCUUCUUCGGACACUCUUCAAGGUGCUGCAUGGUUGUCGUCAGCUCGUGCCGUGAGGUGUCGGGUUAAGUCCCAUAACGAGCGCAACCCUUACCGUUAGUUACCAUCAGGUUAAGCUGGGGACUCUAGCGGGACUGCCACCGUAAGGUGAGAGGAAGGUGGGGAUGACGUCAAAUCAGCACGGCCCUUAUGUCCAGGGCUACACACGUGUUACAAUGGCCAGUACAAAGGGCAGCUACCGGGUGACCGGAUGCUAAUCUCUAAAGCUGGUCUCAGUUCGGAUCGAAGUCUGCAACCCGACUUCGUGAAGCUGGAUUCGCUAGUAAUCGCGCAUCAGCCAUGGCGCGGUGAAUACGUUCCCGGGCCUU